RNAcentral lists this ribosomal RNA (253 nucleotides) under uncultured bacterium. Its description in RNAcentral is "partial 16S ribosomal RNA". It matches the Rfam family "Bacterial small subunit ribosomal RNA", at positions 524 to 776 of the family's 1533-position model. The record is from RNAcentral.
UACGGGGGGGGCAAGCGUUGUUCGGAAUUACUGGGCGUAAAGGGCUCGUAGGUGGCCAACUAAGUCAGACGUUAAAUCCCUCAGCUUAACUGGGGAACUGCGUCUGAUACUGGAUGGCUUGAGUUUGGGAGAGGGAUGCGGAAUUCCAGGUGUAGCGGUGAAAUGCGUAGAUAUCUGGAGGAACACCGGUGGCGAAGGCGGCAUCCUGGACCAACACUGACACUGAGGAGCGAAAGCCAGGGGAGCAAACGGG